This 924-nucleotide ribosomal RNA is filed under the name uncultured bacterium. RNAcentral describes it as "bacterial SSU rRNA". It matches the Rfam family "Bacterial small subunit ribosomal RNA", at positions 33 to 946 of the family's 1533-position model. The record is from RNAcentral.
ACGCUGGCGGCAUGCUUUACACAUGCAAGUCGGACGGCAGCACAGAGAAGCUUGCUUCUUGGGUGGCGAGUGGCGAACGGGUGAGUAACAUAUCGGAACGUACCGAGCAGUGGGGGAUAACUAAUCGAAAGAUUAGCUAAUACCGCAUAUAUUCUGAGGAAGAAAGCAGGGGACCAUUUGGCCUUGCGCUGUUUGAGCGGCCGAUAUCUGAUUAGCUAGUUGGUGGGGUAAAGGCCUACCAAGGCGACGAUCAGUAGCGGGUCUGAGAGGAUGAUCCGCCACACUGGGACUGAGACACGGCCCAGACUCCUACGGGAGGCAGCAGUGGGGAAUUUUGGACAAUGGGCGCAAGCCUGAUCCAGCCAUGCCGCGUGUCUGAAGAAGGCCUUCGGGUUGUAAAGGACUUUUGUCAGGGAAGAAAAGGGCGGGGUUAAUACCCCUGUCUGAUGACGGUACCUGAAGAAUAAGCACCGGCUAACUACGUGCCAGCAGCCGCGGUAAUACGUAGGGUGCGAGCGUUAAUCGGAAUUACUGGGCGUAAAGCGGGCGCAGACGGUUACUUAAGCAGGAUGUGAAAUCCCCGGGCUCAACCUGGGAACUGCGUUCUGAACUGGGUGACUAGAGUGUGUCAGAGGGAGGUAGAAUUCCACGUGUAGCAGUGAAAUGCGUAGAGAUGUGGAGGAAUACCGAUGGCGAAGGCAGCCUCCUGGGAUAACACUGACGUUCAUGCCCGAAAGCGUGGGUAGCAAACAGGAUUAGAUACCCUGGUAGUCCACGCCCUAAACGAUGUCGAUUAGCUGUUGGGCAGCAUGACUGCUUAGUAGCGAAGCUAACGCGUGAAAUCGACCGCCUGGGGAGUACGGUCGCAAGAUUAAAACUCAAAGGAAUUGACGGGGACCCGCACAAGCGGUGGAUGAUGUGGAU